AUUGGAUCCAUAGGGCAAGUGCAUAAAGAUUUAAAAAAAAAAAAAAGUGGGAAGAGACAGUGACACCAGGAGAGGUCCAAGGACAAAACCUUGGGGAAACGUGACACGUAGAAGUUAGGCAGAGAAAUAAAUCAGAAAGGGAAAGUGAAUAGUGACCAGAGGGAAAGGAGACCUGGAGAGAGCUGGUGGGGGGGGGGGNUCCCAGAGAUGUCAGGAAACAAUGUUUAGGAAGCAGGAGGGGAGUGCUCAAUUGUGUCAGAGUCUAAGACGAUUUCUAUCAUACCCACCAAGAGUUUCAUAGUGAAGUGAACCUGACUUUGCCUCCGAGCUUUGGGUAGGAGUAGCAACUGACACAACCUCUCCAAGAUUCCGAUCCAACUUCCUUUAAUUGGAGAAGAGCACUUAUCUCUUUCUCACAGGGCUAAAAUGCUUCACCUGGUGCUGACUGCAGAAAGCCCUCACCAAUGAUACCACCACCACUAUCAGGGAAAAUGAGAGAUGUGAUACACAAUUGUUCAAAAUACAGAGAUGCCUACUCUGAAAAAAUAAAGUCAUAAGAUUCUGCAGCAUUUAAUACUUUAAAGACAGAAGAUUGUGUGACUUCAAAAACAGUGAAAUUAUAGAUACCUGGAAAUGAGCAGCCUUUGUGUUGGAAGACAGGUAACUGGAAAUCAGAAGCUUUACGUACGGCUGGGUGAGGGACUUUAAAAUGAACAAAAACGAUGUUCAAACAAAGGGAUCUUGAGGACGCCUGUAUAAACAACAUCUUUACUUUAUGGAGAGGCCGAAUGUCUUAUGCAGAUCCCAUGAUCUGAUCCUGCAAGACUUGACAUUUUCCAGUCUCACUUCCAAUACAACUUCACUGGGAACAGUCUCCACGCCUGAUGUGGUGGCAGCCAUUCUCACCACAGGGGAAGUGAUCAUUGAGGAUGACCAAUUUGGAGAGUGACUCCAGGGUGUCCACUUCCCCUCACUGAGAACCAUGAAGCAAUC
RNAcentral lists this long non-coding RNA (993 nucleotides) under Vulpes vulpes (red fox). RNAcentral's name for it is "lncRNA (ENSVVUG00000018367.1)". The record is from RNAcentral. Lineage: Eukaryota; Metazoa; Chordata; Mammalia; Carnivora; Canidae.